Molecule: ribosomal RNA, 305 nt
Filed under: uncultured bacterium
Lineage: Bacteria
Description: bacterial SSU rRNA
Rfam family: Bacterial small subunit ribosomal RNA
Source: RNAcentral
UCCUACGGGACGCAGCAGUGGGGAAUAUUGCACAAUGGGGGAAACCCUGAUGCAGCGACGCCGCGUGAGUGAUGAAGUAUUUCGGUAUGUAAAGCUCUAUCAGCAGGGAAGAUAAUGACGGUACCUGACUAAGAAGCUCCGGCUAAAUACGUGCCAGCAGCCGCGGUAAUACGUAUGGAGCAAGCGUUAUCCGGAUUUACUGGGUGUAAAGGGAGCGCAGACGGCAGGGCAAGUCUGAUGUGAAAGUCCGGGGCUCAACCACGGGACUGCGUUGGAAACUGUUAAGCUGGAGUGCAGGAGAGGUA